RNAcentral lists this transfer RNA (83 nucleotides) under Clostridia bacterium. RNAcentral describes it as "tRNA-Leu". It matches the Rfam family "tRNA". From Rfam's summary of the family: Transfer RNA (tRNA) molecules are approximately 80 nucleotides in length. Their secondary structure includes four short double-helical elements and three loops (D, anti-codon, and T loops). Further hydrogen bonds mediate the characteristic L-shaped molecular structure. tRNAs have two regions of fundamental functional importance: the anti-codon, which is responsible for specific mRNA codon recognition, and the 3' end, to which the tRNAs corresponding amino acid is attached (by aminoacyl-tRNA synthetases). tRNAs cope with the degeneracy of the genetic code in two manners: having more than one tRNA (with a specific anti-codon) for a particular amino acid; and 'wobble' base-pairing, i.e. permitting non-standard base-pairing at the 3rd anti-codon position. The record is from RNAcentral. Lineage: Bacteria; Bacillati; Bacillota; Clostridia.
GCGGGUGUGGCGGAACUGGCAGACGCGCCAGACUUAGGAUCUGGUGGGUGAGACCCUUGGGGGUUCGAGUCCCCCCACCCGCA